Molecule: long non-coding RNA, 429 nt
Organism: Drosophila simulans
Lineage: Eukaryota; Metazoa; Arthropoda; Insecta; Diptera; Drosophilidae
Exons: 3
Source: RefSeq, a predicted model, not a curated record
CGAAUUUUUUGUUAAGCGGCCCGUCUCUUAGCUCAUUAAUUCUGCUUAUUUUCAUACCCUCAGCGGAGUAUUUUAAAUAUGGAAACCAUAUUACAAGUGGAAGGGUGUGCAGACGCCAAGGUGCAGCAGCGAUAUCUUUCUUGCCACUUUGCUGCGUGAUCGGCAUCAGCAUCAACAUCGCCAUCAGCACAACAUCAAGCAUCGACAUUAAUUUCGGAUGUUUAGGUUUCGUUUUGGGACACUGCGCAAAUUUGGUCAAAUCGAGCCGAAAACCGUGGUUUGAGGUGGUUGGAUCGAUGAAUAGUGGUUUGAAACAUAAUGAAAUGCCAAUACUCUUAAAUGCAAGUGUCUACAGCAAGUAAAUGUCAACAAAUUACGAACUGUAAGUGACUUUAUUUAUUUAUUACAAUAUUUCUGUUAUUAAUUUAA